Molecule: long non-coding RNA, 1357 nt
Filed under: Capsicum annuum
Lineage: Eukaryota; Viridiplantae; Streptophyta; Magnoliopsida; Solanales; Solanaceae
Description: long non-coding RNA (CANN_LNC021839)
Source: RNAcentral
GGCAUAUUAAUUUUCAGAUACUAUCUUCUCAGAAUCUACUUCAAUAUCUUUCACAUUCAGACUCUUAUAGCCAAUUUAUGGAUCUACUUCUUUAAUUUCCUCUAUAGCAGCUACCACAUCUCCAGUCUGAAUGUCUUCAGUAUUCUCUUGCUUCUUAUCAGUGUCUUCCUUCUCCACAUGAUGAAUUGUUCAGUAUUCUCUUGCUUCUUAUCAGUGUCUUCCUUCUCCACAUGAUGAAUUGUAUUAUAUCCGACCUAAUCUCUUUUAAAAUUUAUGAAAGCCAAGACAUCUAUUGCUUGACUCUCAAUUGUUAAGCAUCUUCUCCAAUAUUCUUCUUCUUCAACAACUUUUUCAGUUUGAACCAUGUUGCUUUCUGUGGCUCGAAAAUAUCUUCUUAUAUGUCCUACUUUGCCACAUCGAUAAUAUUUGAGAUGUUUUUUACUAUAAUAAUUGUUAAAAAACUUUUCCUUUUUUCCAGGCAAGCUUGAACCACGUGAUAAUUGAGUGUGAGGCAUAACUCUUGCUUUUCCUUUAACGCCCCUCUUAUCAACUACAAAAGCAUUUCCAUUUCUUUCUUUGACAAAUUCACCAGCCAAUUGUUUGGCUAAUACUCCGGUGACGGCAACAAAUUCUCAAAUUCCUCCAAGGAUGGUUGUUGAGUCCAUCCUUGAAUCGACGUCACAAAGGAAAUAUAUUCUGGCUUCAAUAUCUGUAGUUGAGCUUCAUUCUACUUGUUGAAUAACUAAUCGAGCGUCCUCCAUAUAUCGAAUAAACUGGAGGAGAUGGUUCUCUUCAAGGUGAGUUCCGCCUUCGCAUUAGUCUGCUUCCACUUCUUAUAUGCACCAUCAUUUUUCGGGUCAUCGACAGGAAGGCUUGUGUUACUUUUAUUGAUAAUAUUCCACAAGUCCUCACCCCUAAGGUAUGUUUUCAUACAUGUAUUCCAUAUCUUAUAAUUGGACUAAUUCAACAACUCCAUUCCUAAUCCAUUAGGAUGACCGCUCAAAUUCAUUCGCACAAACCAGUUGAAUUAAUCACAAACCCGAUCUUGAAAUAAACACAAGCCAAUCUAUGACUUUGGCUCUUAUACUAUAUAGAGAAUAGCAGAAGAAAGGCAUAUUUAAGAAACCUUCUGCUAAGGCAUAUUUAAGAAACCUUCUGCUAACCCAAAAUCGUUAACUAAGAUCGAAAGAUUCAACUAAGAAAAGAAAGUUAGAAAUGUGAAGAAAAAUAUUAAAAGGGAGAACUUAGAUUUGAAAGAAGACUACUUUAAUAUGCUUUGUAUUGUAUUGGAUUUAUUUUUGAAUAGUGUCAAACGUUCAAGGCCAUCCCUAUUUAUACUUGUUCAUGGAUGGUUCUA